UACGUAGGGGGCAAGCGUUGUCCGGAAUUAUUGGGCGUAAAGCGCGCGCAGGCGGUCAAUUAAGUUGGGUGUUUAAGCCCGGGGCUCAACCCCGGUUCGCAUCCAAAACUGGUUGACUUGAGUGUAGGAGAGGAAAGUGGAAUUCCACGUGUAGCGGUGAAAUGCGUAGAGAUGUGGAGGAACACCAGUGGCGAAGGCGACUUUCUGGCCUAUAACUGACGCUGAGGCGCGAAAGCGUGGGGAGCAAACAGGAUUAGAAACCCUGUAGUCC
This 271-nucleotide ribosomal RNA is filed under the name uncultured prokaryote. Its description in RNAcentral is "partial 16S ribosomal RNA". It matches the Rfam family "Bacterial small subunit ribosomal RNA", at positions 524 to 796 of the family's 1533-position model. The record is from RNAcentral.